Molecule: long non-coding RNA, 1457 nt
Organism: Solea solea (common sole)
Lineage: Eukaryota; Metazoa; Chordata; Actinopteri; Pleuronectiformes; Soleidae
Exons: 2
Source: RefSeq, a predicted model, not a curated record
UGUAGUGCCACUGGUGACGCUGUAAUUUGGCCUUCAGCUGUUUCAACGCGGCCACCGGAAAUUGGACGAUCUUGUUAGGAAAGUAAUAUAAAACACCUGAUGCUGUUCUUAUGAAUCUGAGUGACCCUUCGCGCUUUAAUCGUGUUGUACUUCCGUCGGUGUGAAUCCGUGUGUAUUUCUGAUCGUUUGGUAAAUCCCUGUCACCACAAACGGUGCCGUUCAUGACGACGAGGCAUUUUAUUUUGAAGGAUUUGGUUUGCCCGGAGACAACAGCUGUGAUUUAUGACGACUUGACACUAAAAAUAGCAGCGUCCGACUUUGUUCCCUGACAAGAACAGUUCCUGCUUCUCUUACCAAACAAGACAAAUCAUCACCUCAUCAACAGCAGGACGGAUGUUCUUCAUCAUCGUCACCAUCACCCUCUCAUUAACGCCUGACACCUGGAGUGCAGUGGGUCCAGUACGCAGCGGAUGCAGCCAGUGUCCGGCUGCAGGCGACCCUCUCGAUGGUCUCUCCCACCAUGAAAGCGGUGGUGGAUGUCGUAUGGGCGGUGUGGAGCAUCGGGGCCUCCAUCUAUGACUACAUCCACACCAACGCCAUGGAAGAGCGCAUCCACGCCCUGGAGCACGUCAUCACCAUCCACCAGUGUGUGAUCGGACUGCUGUCUGCUGGAGUUCUGGUACUCUUCACUUACAUCGUCUUCAAAAAGCUCUGAGCUGGUGUGAAAUGGUGGUGGGAUUGUUAUUGGACGUGGUGAAGCAAUCACUGAGCAGACUUUUAAAGGGGGACAUUUAGACUUUGGGUUCAAAUGACUGGCUCAUAAGACUGUUUGUAGUUUCUGAAAGAGAUUACACUGAACCUAACAUACACUGGAGGACAUGUCUUUAAACAGUUAAACACUUUUAAAAUCUUUACAGUGUCACCCUUUUCAUAAACCGUUCAUGCUCUCUAUGUAGUGAUUGUGGAGAAGGGGACCAUGUGGAAUUUUUAAAGGCCAGCUUUUGUAACUGGCAGUCGCUAUCUUUCAAUUUUUCCUUUUUAAAUUUAAAUGUAACAUUUAAUUUUAACAUCUUAAGCACUAAAAUGAAUAAUUAUCCCUCUAUUCAUUUGAAUUCCUACUUCCAUUUACCUGACUAAGCAGUUUAUUGCAGGUUUUGUAAGGUGAAGAUUCCUCAAGUUUGUUAUCUCAUAAUGAAAAAGCAAAUCAGUAAAUUAGGACAGUCCUACACAAUGUUUUCAGUGUGUGUCCAUAGCCUGGACAGCAGAAUUUAGUCAUUUCAUAAAGGGAUUAGUAUUGGAAAUAAUAAUUUGCCACCACAACUUCUGCCUUAAUGCAGUCUGUUUUCACACCCGUCAAAUUAGUGAUGAUGUGUAUGGAGUGUAACAUUUAGUGUAUUUCUCUAAGUAGUCAUAUGGAUCCCUAAUGAAUGUUCCUUUCAAUAAAACAUUUAAAGUCG